RNAcentral lists this ribosomal RNA (1380 nucleotides) under uncultured bacterium. Its description in RNAcentral is "bacterial SSU rRNA". It matches the Rfam family "Bacterial small subunit ribosomal RNA". The record is from RNAcentral.
AUUCGAUUAGAGUUUGAUCAUGGCUCAGGACGAACGCUGGCGGCGUGCUUAACACAUGCAAGUCGAACGGAAAGGCCCUGCUUUUGUGGGGUGCUCGAGUGGCGAACGGGUGAGUAACACGUGAGUAACCUGCCCUUGACUUUGGGAUAACUUCAGGAAACUGGGGCUAAUACCGGAUAGGAGCUCCUGCUGCAUGGUGGGGGUUGGAAAGUUUCGGCGGUUGGGGAUGGACUCGCGGCUUAUCAGCUUGUUGGUGGGGUAGUGGCUUACCAAGGCUUUGACGGGUAGCCGGCCUGAGAGGGUGACCGGCCACAUUGGGACUGAGAUACGGCCCAGACUCCUACGGGAGGCAGCAGUGGGGAAUAUUGCACAAUGGGCGGAAGCCUGAUGCAGCAACGCCGCGUGCGGGAUGACGGCCUUCGGGUUGUAAACCGCUUUCGCCUGUGACGAAGCGUGAGUGACGGUAAUGGGUAAAGAAGCACCGGCUAACUACGUGCCAGCAGCCGCGGUGAUACGUAGGGUGCGAGCGUUGUCCGGAUUUAUUGGGCGUAAAGGGCUCGUAGGUGGUUGAUCGCGUCGGAAGUGUAAUCUUGGGGCUUAACCCUGAGCGUGCUUUCGAUACGGGUUGACUUGAGGAAGGUAGGGGAGAAUGGAAUUCCUGGUGGAGCGGUGGAAUGCGCAGAUAUCAGGAGGAACACCAGUGGCGAAGGCGGUUCUCUGGGCCUUUCCUGACGCUGAGGAGCGAAAGCGUGGGGAGCGAACAGGCUUAGAUACCCUGGUAGUCCACGCUGUAAACGGUGGGUACUAGGUGUGGGGUCCAUUCCACGGGUUCCGUGCCGUAGCUAACGCUUUAAGUACCCCGCCUGGGGAGUACGGCCGCAAGGCUAAAACUCAAAGGAAUUGACGGGGCCCCGCACAAGCGGCGGAGCAUGCGGAUUAAUUCGAUGCAACGCGUAGAACCUUACCUGGGUUUGACAUGGAUCGGGAGUGCUCAGAGAUGGGUGUGCCUCUUUUGGGGUCGGUUCACAGGUGGUGCAUGGCUGUCGUCAGCUCGUGUCGUGAGAUGUUGGGUUAAGUCCCGCAACGAGCGCAACCCUUGUUCACUGUUGCCAGCACGUUAUGGUGGGGACUCAGUGGAGACCGCCGGGGUCAACUCGGAGGAAGGUGGGGAUGACGUCAAGUCAUCAUGCCCCUUAUGUCCAGGGCUUCACGCAUGCUACAAUGGCUGGUACAGAGAGUGGCGAGCCUGUGAGGGUGAGCGAAUCUCGGAAAGCCGGUCUCAGUUCGGAUUGGGGUCUGCAACUCGACCUCAUGAAGUCGGAGUCGCUAGUAAUCGCAGAUCAGCAACGCUGCGGUGAAUACGUUCCACGGGGCUUGUAG